GCUCAGGAUGAACGCUAGCGGCAGGCCUAAUACAUGCAAGUCGAGGGGCAGCGCAGUGUAGCAAUACAUGGGCGGCGACCGGCAAACGGGUGCGGAACACGUACGCAACCUUCCUUUAAGUGGGGAAUAGCCCAGAGAAAUUUGGAUUAAUACCCCGUAAGAUGGUGGUCUGGCAUCAGACAGCCAUUAAAGCUGAGGCGCUUAAAGAUGGGCGUGCGUCUGAUUAGGUAGUUGGUGAGGUAAUGGCUCACCAAGCCGACGAUCAGUAACUGGCGUGAGAGCGCGACCAGUCACACGGGCACUGAGACACGGGCCCGACUCCUACGGGAGGCAGCAGUAAGGAAUAUUGGUCAAUGGACGCAAGUCUGAACCAGCCAUGCCGCGUGAAGGAUGAAGGUCCUCUGGAUUGUAAACUUCUUUUAUGUGGGAAGAAACCACCUUUUUCUAAGGGUGUGACGGUACC
RNAcentral lists this ribosomal RNA (463 nucleotides) under Chitinophaga sp. IGS30. RNAcentral's name for it is "bacterial SSU rRNA". It matches the Rfam family "Bacterial small subunit ribosomal RNA", at positions 22 to 479 of the family's 1533-position model. The record is from RNAcentral. Lineage: Bacteria; Pseudomonadati; Bacteroidota; Chitinophagia; Chitinophagales; Chitinophagaceae.